RNAcentral lists this ribosomal RNA (499 nucleotides) under Beauveria bassiana. RNAcentral describes it as "eukaryotic LSU rRNA". The stretch from base 142 to 295 matches the Rfam family "5.8S ribosomal RNA". The record is from RNAcentral. Lineage: Eukaryota; Fungi; Ascomycota; Sordariomycetes; Hypocreales; Cordycipitaceae.
CCUUAUGUGAACCUACCUAUCGUUGCUUCGGCGGACUCGCCCCAGCCGGACGCGGACUGGACCAGCGGCCGCCGGGGACCAUCAAACUCUUGUAUUAUCAGCAUCUUCUGAAUACGCCGCAAGGCAAAACAAAUAAAUUAAAACUUUCAACAACGGAUCUCUUGGCUCUGGCAUCGAUGAAGAACGCAGCGAAAUGCGAUAAGUAAUGUGAAUUGCAGAAUCCAGUGAAUCAUCGAAUCUUUGAACGCACAUUGCGCCCGCCAGCAUUCUGGCGGGCAUGCCUGUUCGAGCGUCAUUUCAACCCUCGACCUCCCUUUGGGGAAGUCGGCGUUGGGGACCGGCAGCACACCGCCGGCCCUGAAAUGGAGUGGCGGCCCGUCCGCGGCGACCUCUGCGUAGUAAACCAACUCGCACCGGAACCCCGACGUGGCCACGCCGUAAAACACCCAACUUCUGAACGUUGACCUCGAAUCAGGUAGGACUACCCGCUGAACUUAAG